ACGCUGGCGGCGUGCUUAACACAUGCAAGUCGCACGAGAACGCUUCAGCUUGCUGAAGUAAGUAAAGUGGCGCACGGGUGAGUAACGCGUGGGUAAUCUACCCUCAAAUUGGGGAUAACCCGCCGAAAGGCGGGCUAAUACCGAAUGACAUCUUGAAGACUUAUGUUUUCAGGAUCAAAGGUGGCCUCUACAUGUAAGCUAUUGUUUGGGGAUGAGCCCGCGUACCAUUAGCUUGUUGGUAGGGUAAUGGCCUACCAAGGCUACGAUGGUCAGCUGGUCUGAGAGGAUGAUCAGCCACACUGGAACUGACACACGGUCCAGACUCCUACGGGAGGCAGCAGUGAGGAAUUUUGCGCAAUGGGGGAAACCCUGACGCAGCAACGCCGCGUGAGUGAUGAAGGCUUUCGGGUCGUAAAGCUCUGUCAAGUGGGAAGAACUCAUAUGGUGUUAAUAUCUCCAUAUGUUGACGGUACCACUGAAGGAAGCACCGGCUAACUCCGUGCCAGCAGCCGCGGUAAUACGGGGGGUGCGAGCGUUAUUCGGAAUUACUGGGCGUAAAGAGCGCGUAGGCGGUCUUUUAAGUCAGGUGUGAAAGCCCGGGGCUCAACCCCGGAAGUGCACUUGAAACUAAGAGACUUGAGUAUGGGAGAGGGAAAGUGGAAUUCCUGUGUAGCGGUGAAAUGCGUAGAUAUCAGAGGAACAUCAGUGGCGAAAGCGACUUCCUGACCAAUACUGACGCUGAGGCGCGAAAGCGUGGGGAGCAAACAGGAUUAGAUACCCUGUAGUCCACGCAGUAAACGGUGAACACUAGGUGUAGCGGGUAUUGACCCCUGCUGUGCCGCAGCAAACGCAUUAAGUGUUCCGCCUGGGGAGUACGGCCGCAAGUUAAAACUCAAAGGAA
Molecule: ribosomal RNA, 901 nt
Filed under: uncultured bacterium
Lineage: Bacteria
Description: bacterial SSU rRNA
Rfam family: Bacterial small subunit ribosomal RNA
Source: RNAcentral